AGUCGAGCGAACAGACGAGGAGCUUGCUCCUCUGACGUUAGCGGCGGACGGGUGAGUAACACGUGGAUAACCUACCUAUAAGACUGGGAUAACUUCGGGAAACCGGAGCUAAUACCGGAUAAUAUAUUGAACCGCAUGGUUCAAUAGUGAAAGACGGUUUUGCUGUCACUUAUAGAUGGAUCCGCGCCGCAUUAGCUAGUUGGUAAGGUAACGGCUUACCAAGGCAACGAUGCGUAGCCGACCUGAGAGGGUGAUCGGCCACACUGGAACUGAGACACGGUCCAGACUCCUACGGGAGGCAGCAGUAGGGAAUCUUCCGCAAUGGGCGAAAGCCUGACGGAGCAACGCCGCGUGAGUGAUGAAGGUCUUCGGAUCGUAAAACUCUGUUAUUAGGGAAGAACAAAUGUGUAAGUAACUAUGCACGUCUUGACGGUACCUAAUCAGAAAGCCACGGCUAACUACGUGCCAGCAGCCGCGGUAAUACGUAGGUGGCAAGCGUUAUCCGGAAUUAUUGGGCGUAAAGCGCGCGUAGGCGGUUUUUUAAGUCUGAUGUGAAAGCCCACGGCUCAACCGUGGAGGGUCAUUGGAAACUGGAAAACUUGAGUGCAGAAGAGGAAAGUGGAAUUCCAUGUGUAGCGGUGAAAUGCGCAGAGAUAUGGAGGAACACCAGUGGCGAAGGCGACUUUCUGGUCUGUAA
RNAcentral lists this ribosomal RNA (697 nucleotides) under uncultured Staphylococcus sp. Its description in RNAcentral is "bacterial SSU rRNA". It matches the Rfam family "Bacterial small subunit ribosomal RNA", at positions 60 to 739 of the family's 1533-position model. The record is from RNAcentral. Lineage: Bacteria; Bacillati; Bacillota; Bacilli; Caryophanales; Staphylococcaceae.